UGAGGAAUCUUGCGCAAUGGGGGCAACCCUGACGCAGCAACGCCGCGUGAGUGAGGAAGGUCUUCGGAUCGUAAAGCUCUGUCAGUUGGGAAGAAAUGUCUGAUGGUUAAUACCUUUCAGACUUGACGGUACCAACAGAGGAAGCACCGGCUAACUCCGUGCCAGCAGCCGCGGUAAUACGGGGGGUGCAAGCGUUGUUCGGAAUUAUUGGGCGUAAAGAGCGUGUAGGCGGCCUGAUGUGUCAGAUGUGAAAGCCCUGGGCUUAACCCAGGAAGUGCAUUUGAAACUGUCAGGCUUGAGUAGGGGAGAGGGAAGUGGAAUUCCUGGUGUAGAGGUGAAAUUCGUAGAUAUCAGGAGGAACACCGGUGGCGAAGGCGACUUCCUGGCCCUAUACUGACGCUGAGACGCGAGAGCGUGGGUAGCAAACA
Molecule: ribosomal RNA, 428 nt
Filed under: uncultured prokaryote
Description: bacterial SSU rRNA
Rfam family: Bacterial small subunit ribosomal RNA
Source: RNAcentral